This 1382-nucleotide ribosomal RNA is filed under the name uncultured Anaerococcus sp. Its description in RNAcentral is "bacterial SSU rRNA". It matches the Rfam family "Bacterial small subunit ribosomal RNA", at positions 30 to 1369 of the family's 1533-position model. Lineage: Bacteria; Bacillati; Bacillota; Tissierellia; Tissierellales; Peptoniphilaceae. The record is from RNAcentral.
UGAUACGCUGGCGGCGUGCAUACACAUGCAGUCGAACGAUGAAACUUUAAUGAACCCUUCGGGGAGAAUUAAAGCGGAUUAGUGGCGAACGGGUGAGUAACGCGUGAGUAACCUGCCUUACACAAGGGGAUAGCCUUUGGAAACGAAGAAUAAUACCCUAUAAAACCAUAAAAGCACAUGCAAUUAUGGUCAAAGUGAUAGCCGGCCGGUAAGGAAUGGGACCUUUGCCGGUCUCUGGAAUUANCUAGAGUUGGGUGUAGAAUAUAAAAGCCCCACACCAAGGGGGAACAGAGUCAACCGAUGAUACCCCCGNGGUCUGUUAGAAGAGAUGUGCUACGGGGCCACNNUUGGGACUGAGACACGGCCCAGACUCCUACGGGAGGCAGCAGUGGGGAAUUUUGCACAAUGGGGGAAACCCUGAUGCAGCGGCGCCGCGUGAUUUAGAAGUGCCUUCGGGUUGUAAAAAUCUUUUGUAUAGGAAGAAAAUGACAGUACUAUACGAAUAAGGUCCGGCUAAUUACGUGCCAGCAGCCGCGGUAAUACGUAAGGACCGAGCGUUGCCCGGAAUCAUUGGGCGUAAAGGGUACGUAGGCGGCUAGAAAAGUUAGAAGUCAAAGGCUAUAGCUCAACUAUAGUAAGCUUCUAAAACUAUUUAGCUUGAGAGAUGGAAGGGAAAGUGGAAUUCCUAGUGUAGCGGUGGAAUGCGCAGAUAUUAGGAGGAAUACCGGUGGCGAAGGCGACUUUCUGGCCAUUUUCUGACGCUGAGGUACGAAAGCGUGGGUAGCAAACAGGAUUAGAUACCCUGGUAGUCCACGCCGUAAACGAUGAGUGUUAGGUGUCUGGAGUCAAAUCUGGGUGCCGCAGCAAACGCAUUAAACACUCCGCCUGGGGAGUACGCACGCAAGUGUGAAACUCAAAGGAAUUGACGGGGACCCGCACAAGCAGCGGAGCAUGUGGUUUAAUUCGACGCAACGCGAAGAACCUUACCAAGUCUUGACAUAUUUUAGAAGCAAUUAGAGAUAAUUGCCUAUAUCUUCGGAUAACUAAAAUACAGGUGGUGCAUGGUUGUCGUCAGCUCGUGUCGUGAGAUGUUGGGUUAAGUCCCAUAACGAGGCGCCCAACCCUUAUGUGUUAGUAACNAUCAUUAAGUUGGGGANUUUAGUAAUACUGCCGGUGACAAACCGGAGGAAGGUGGGGAUGACGUCAAAUCAUCAUGCCCUUUAUGACUUGGGCUACACACGUGCUACAAUGGCAGGUACACAGGGAAGCAAGACUGUGAAGUUAAGCAAACUCAAAAAGCCUGUCCCAGUUCGGAUUGCACUCUGCAACUCGAGUGCAUGAAGUUGGAGUGCUAUAUCGCAGAUCAGAUGCUGCGUGACUCC